ACCUGUGUGGCUCAGUCGGUUAAGCGUCCGACUUCAGCUCAGGUCAUGAUCUCAGGGUUUGUGGGUUCAAGCCCCGCUUCAGGCU
This 85-nucleotide transfer RNA is filed under the name Felis catus (domestic cat). It matches the Rfam family "tRNA". Rfam says of the family: Transfer RNA (tRNA) molecules are approximately 80 nucleotides in length. The record is from Rfam by way of RNAcentral. Lineage: Eukaryota; Metazoa; Chordata; Mammalia; Carnivora; Felidae.